GGUAGGGUUGGAGAUCUUUGAAAAACGGUUCCUGUGAGCUAUAUUUUUGAAAAUACACAGCCCGCCUCUCCCUUCAGCCCUCCCCUCAAAGCCACGCCUUCAAAACACAUGAACGCGCAUGCAGUCUGUCAAGUGUUCGGAUUAUCCCGGGAACCCACGAGAGCUCACGAGGCGGGGGCGGGCUAGAAGCCACGACAAAUCGAUUAGCCAAGCUAACUUCCAGCCAUGGCACUGUCUCCGGCUACGACCUUCCACGACCACGAGAGCUCCAGCUCUGACUUUCCUGGCCCAUCACAAUCAUAACGACCUAACAGCCCAGUAGGACCGAUGGCCAGAGAUGGAGGAGGAGGAAGAUAGACGCAGCAGAGGUCGGGGGUAUUGAUUAGGGAGACUCCAACAGAAUUGACGCCCUGCUAACUGCCUUGAUUCAAUCAUUGAAUUUGAAGCAAUCCCAUCGGUUACUGCAGCGUGCCCUGACCCGUGACCCCAGUUUGAUGUUCGACCUGGCACAUGACAUCUG
Long non-coding RNA from Engraulis encrasicolus (European anchovy), 520 nucleotides. RefSeq lists it as uncharacterized. The transcript has 3 exons. The record is from RefSeq and is a predicted model, not a curated record. Lineage: Eukaryota; Metazoa; Chordata; Actinopteri; Clupeiformes; Engraulidae.